Long non-coding RNA from Scleropages formosus (Asian bonytongue), 407 nucleotides. Ensembl lists it as uncharacterized. The record is from Ensembl. Lineage: Eukaryota; Metazoa; Chordata; Actinopteri; Osteoglossiformes; Osteoglossidae.
CUUCACUUCACCUGACUUGAUGGACGUUGAGGGCAGUUUGGCGAAAGGUGGCACUGUUGCGGAGUAAAUGCGAACGUAGCCGCUUAAGCGUUCUUACUUUUAAAAUUGUAAUAUUUUGAAUACAUUUUCUAUACUCAAUUGUUUUGAACGGCGAAGAGAAGCAACGUUCAACUGAGAAGAAAUGGGAGGCAGGUGGUCAGAUUUGAGAGGGGAAAAGCACAGGCGAAGAUGUGGCUUCAAAGCCAACCAACACUUACUUCAAACAACUCUGAGCAAGUGCCAAUCACGUUCCCAACGAAGGAAAACACAACAACAGAAAAUGCUAAUCAACCAAGCGCUGAAUCUACAAAGUAAAUAAAGAAAUUAUAAACAGAUGCCAUAAUUUGCAACAUAUGGAUAAAUAAAGC